Molecule: ribosomal RNA, 270 nt
Filed under: uncultured archaeon
Lineage: Archaea
Description: partial 16S ribosomal RNA
Rfam family: Archaeal small subunit ribosomal RNA
Source: RNAcentral
CAGCACCUCAAGUGGUCAGGAUGAUUAUUGGGCCUAAAGCAUCCGUAGCCGGCUCUGUAAGUUUUCGGUUAAAUCUGUACGCUUAACGUACAGGCUGCCGGGAAUACUGCAGAGCUAGGGAGUGGGAGAGGUAGACGGUACUCGGUAGGAAGGGGUAAAAUCCUUUGAUCUAUUGAUGACCACCUGUGGCGAAGGCGGUCUACCAGAACACGUCCGACGGUGAGGGAUGAAAGCUGGGGGAGCAAACCGGAUUAGAUACCCGAGUAGACC